This 77-nucleotide transfer RNA is filed under the name marine sediment metagenome. Its description in RNAcentral is "tRNA-Glu". It matches the Rfam family "tRNA", at positions 17 to 71 of the family's 71-position model. From Rfam's summary of the family: Transfer RNA (tRNA) molecules are approximately 80 nucleotides in length. The record is from RNAcentral.
GGUGGACCUUCUGAGAUAGGUGAGAACGUCAGAUUCUCAAUCUGGAAACCCGGGUUCGAUUCCCGGUACCGCUACCA